UAAAGAAAGUAAGAAAGGGCGUAUGGCGGAUGCCUAGGCUCACGGAGGCGAUGAAGGACGUGAUAAGCUGCGAUAAGCUUCGGGUAGGUGCAAAUAACCCUUGAUCCGGAGAUUUCCGAAUGGGACAACCUAGCCGUCUGAAGGACGGUUACUCAAUCUUCAAGAUUGAGAGCUAACGCAGGGAACUGAAACAUCUUAGUACCUGCAGGAAGAGAAAAUAAAUGAAUGAUUCCCCCAGUAGUGGCGAGCGAACGGGGAACAGCCCAAACCGUUGACGUCGCAAGGCGCCAGCGGGGUUGUAGGACCGCGACAUUGUAUGCAAAUCGUGAACAGAACACUUUGGAAAAUGUGACCAUAGACGGUGAUAGUCCAGUAUGUGAAGCGAAAUGCAGCAUAGCGGUAUCCUGAGUAACGCGGGACACGAGGAAUCCUGCGCGAAUCUGCCGGGACCAUCCGGUAAGGCUAAAUACUCCCGUGAGACCGAUAGCGAACGAGUACUGUGAAGGAAAGGUGAAAAGAACCCCGAGCAGGGGAGUGAAAUAGUUCCUGAAACCAUACGCCUACAAGCGGUCGGAGCAUCGUAAGAUGUGACGGCGUGCCUUUUGCAUAAUGAUCCUACGAGUUACCGUCACUGGCGAGGUUGAGUGUCACGAGACACGUAGCCGCAGUGAAAGCGAGCCUGAACAGGGCGCACAGUCAGUGGGGGUAGACGCGAAACCAAGUGAUCUACACUUGGCCAGGAUGAAGUCCCGGUAACACGGGAUGGAGGUCCGCACCAAUAAGCGUUGAAAAGCUUCUGGAUGAGCCGAGUGUAGGAGUGAAAGGCCAAUCAAACUUGGAGAUAGCUCGUACUCCCCGAAAGGCAUUUAGGUGCCGCGUCGGAUGGUCACCGUGAGAGGUAGAGCGACCGAUAGGACAAGAGGGCUUCACCGCCUAUCGAGUCCUGACGAACUCCGAAUGCUCACGGUCUGCAGUCCGGCAGUAAGGGGGCGGGUGCUAAGGUCCGUCCCCGAGAGGAGAAGAAUCCAGACCGCCGUCUAAGGUCCCGGAGUUCUGCCUGAGUUAGUCUAACGAAGUCUGGUCCCUAUGACAGCUAGGAUGUUGGCUUGGAAGCAGCCAUUCAUUCAAAGAGUGCGUAACAGCUCACUAGUCGAGGGUCCGGGCAUGGAUAAUAAUCGGGUAUAAGGCAGACACCGAAGGCGCGGGAUAGCAUUUAAGAAAGUAUCGGUAGGGGAGCAUACUCACAGCGUCGAAUGGUGUACGUAAGUUAUCCUGGAGCGGUGAGUAAAGCAAAUGUAGGAAUAAGUAACGAUAAGGAGGGUUAGAUUCCCUCCCGCUGUAAGACCAAGGUUUCCCGGGCAAUGCCAAUCAGCCCGGGGUCAGUCGGGUCCUAAGUCUAAGCCGAACGGCGAUGGCGAUGGCAGAGACGGUUAAUAUUCCGUCACUGCCGCAUGGGGCGA
RNAcentral lists this ribosomal RNA (1460 nucleotides) under Segatella copri. RNAcentral describes it as "Prevotella copri partial 23S ribosomal RNA". It matches the Rfam family "Bacterial large subunit ribosomal RNA", at positions 1 to 1459 of the family's 2925-position model. Lineage: Bacteria; Pseudomonadati; Bacteroidota; Bacteroidia; Bacteroidales; Prevotellaceae. The record is from RNAcentral.